This 441-nucleotide ribosomal RNA is filed under the name uncultured bacterium. Its description in RNAcentral is "partial 16S ribosomal RNA". It matches the Rfam family "Bacterial small subunit ribosomal RNA", at positions 338 to 795 of the family's 1533-position model. The record is from RNAcentral.
CCUACGGGUGGCAGCAGUGGGGAAUAUUGCACAAUGGGGGAAACCCUGAUGCAGCGACGCCGCGUGAGUGAAGAAGUAUUUCGGUAUGUAAAGCUCUAUCAGCAGGAACGAGACAAGACGGUACCUUACUAAGAAGCCCCGGCUAACUACGUGCCAGCCGCCGCGGUAAUACGGAGGGGACAAGCGUUAUCCGGAAUCCCUGGGUGUAAAGGGCGCGUAGACGGCUGGGCAAGCCAGAAGUGAAAGGCAGGGGCCCAACCCGGGGACUGCUUGGGGAACUGUACGGCUGGAGUGCAGGAGAGGUAAGUGGAAUUCCUAGUGUAGCGGUGAAAGGCGUAGAUAUUAGGAGGAACACCAGUGGCGAAGGCGGCUUACUGGACUGUAACUGACGUUGAGGCUCGAAAGCGUGGGGAGCAAACAGGAUUAGAUACCCGAGUAGUC